Molecule: long non-coding RNA, 292 nt
Organism: Oxyura jamaicensis (ruddy duck)
Lineage: Eukaryota; Metazoa; Chordata; Aves; Anseriformes; Anatidae
Exons: 2
Source: RefSeq, a predicted model, not a curated record
AGCCCACUCUACAGUUGGAAAACAGAAUUGCACAGACUCAUUGAAUGGUGGUCAAGGUUGGAAGGAAUCUCUGAAGAUUGGCUAGUCCAACCCCCCUACUCAGGCAGGGUCAAGUAAAGAUGGUUGUCCAGGACUCAUCACCAUUUGGUGUAUCAACCACCCCUCAAAACUGUACAUCAUCUGCACACUUGCAGAAGUCCUCUUUAUCAUUGUAAAAGGUAGGGAAUUUCACAGCAUGAAAGAGAACAUACUGUUCAUUUUCCUUUUCAAAAGGUGGGCUAUGACCUACUUU